Molecule: ribosomal RNA, 318 nt
Filed under: Triticum aestivum (bread wheat)
Lineage: Eukaryota; Viridiplantae; Streptophyta; Magnoliopsida; Poales; Poaceae
Description: partial small subunit ribosomal RNA
Source: RNAcentral
AUGCUACUUGGGCUAGUGAUGCUUCAGAUUGCCGGUCCCUUUUUACUUGUGUUUUUCUUGGAGUUUCUCUCAUUUCCUGGAAGACAAAGAAACAUACUAGAGCCUGUUCGAGUUCAGAGGCUGAGUUGUGGUACUCUCUCGCCGUCUCUUAUGACUUGGCUACGGUGGUUGCUUGAGGAUUUUGGUGUUUCUAUCACCACACCUCCUCCUCUCUUGUUUGACAGUACAUGUGCUAUCAGUAUUGUGUGCGACCCUGUGAAGCAUGAGCUCACCAAGCAUAUUGGUGUUGAUGCUUCCUUUGUGUGCAUGAUCAGGUGA